UACGUAGGGUGUAAGCGUUGUCCGGAAUUAUUGGGCGUAAAGAGCUCGUAGGCGGUCUGUUACGUCGGCUGUGAAAACCUAGGGCUCAACCCUGGGCCUGCAGCCGAUACGGGCAGACUAGAAUUCGGUAGGGGGAGACUGGAAUUCCUGGUGUAGCGGUGAAAUGCGCAGAUAUCAGGAGGAACACCGGUGGCGAAGGCGGG
This 203-nucleotide ribosomal RNA is filed under the name uncultured bacterium. Its description in RNAcentral is "partial 16S ribosomal RNA". It matches the Rfam family "Bacterial small subunit ribosomal RNA", at positions 524 to 725 of the family's 1533-position model. The record is from RNAcentral.